CUAAUGCACUUUUCGCCUUUUUGACAUCUUCGGCCUCUCCGAAGCAUACCAACACGACCCUUGGUCGAUUUUGGAAGAAGUCCAACUCUCGUAUUUCGAGAAUUCAUUUCCUUAUAUAGAGUCUCCCCUAUAUUCGCACGGCAUCGCACAAGUACAAGAUACAACCACAAGUAUGAACAUCCACAUACAAACACCAUUCACAUUCGUCACAGAUAUUCAUAAAUCCACAUCUAUUAGUUUAAAACGUUUCCCACUCAGAAACUUAUUUUGAAAUGCUAAGAAUUACGAAAACCAGCAAACCCUUUUUAAAACCGUUUUCCACACGAAAACCUUUUCUUUUAAAACACGCUAUCUCGAGGGGUAAAAAACUAUUUUCAUCUCAUGAAAAUCAUCAAUUCUUUAUUACAUUAACAAAAUCUUAUUUAUCCAAUUAAAUGAAAGCCAACUGAACUAUAAUGUCUAA
This 463-nucleotide long non-coding RNA is filed under the name Ananas comosus (pineapple). RNAcentral describes it as "long non-coding RNA (ACOM_LNC039556)". Lineage: Eukaryota; Viridiplantae; Streptophyta; Magnoliopsida; Poales; Bromeliaceae. The record is from RNAcentral.